UAGGGGCUAUGACAGAGACUCUAACAGGAGCUAUGACAGAGGCCGUGACAGAGGCUGUAACAGGGGCUGUGACAGGGGCUGUGACAGGUAUUGUGUGACAAAGGCUGUGGCAGGUACUAUGACAGAUGCUGCCACAGUGCUGUGACAAAGGCUGAGACAGGGACGGUGAGAGAGCCCGGGACAGAAAUGUGACUAAGUCUGGAACCACAAUCAGAGUUGGGACAACAGCUCCCGGAGCCCAGGCCUACACUCCCACGGUUGACAGAGCAGUUGGCGGUGACAGCAGCAACACAGCAAACACAUGGGCCCAGCCAGGCCCAGGCACUUGUGGAACCGCCAACAGGCUGAAGCUGCCACAGGAGAGCGAAAGGGGGCAGAUGGCAGCAAUCUGGUGGAAGUUGGAAUGGGGGCCAGACUUGAGAUGUGUCUGCUGGAAUGCUGAUGAAAAUCAUGGAGGGCUGCAGUACCCCCUGGUGCCAGUCGCCAGCCUGCUGUUUCCUUUGGCCAAACAAGGCUGCUCUGCAGAGGUCACCCCUAGGCUAAUGAGGAAUCUUCCUGAGGUUUAAAACCAAUUAAGCAACAAACGGCUUCUGAUUAGUUAUUUCUCUUGAUAUGAAUUUUAAUGAACAGCCUCCUCUCCCCUCCUUACUUCUCAAACACCCCUCGGGGUCAGCCAGCUUUUGGUCUGCCUUGGAGAGCCUGCAGGGGGUGUCUGGGAAGGCUAGAGGGGAAGGGGAGAGGGGCUAAAGUGGGGUCUAAGCAGUUUUCCACUGCACAGCAAGCCCUGC
Molecule: long non-coding RNA, 788 nt
Organism: Felis catus (domestic cat)
Lineage: Eukaryota; Metazoa; Chordata; Mammalia; Carnivora; Felidae
Exons: 3
Source: RefSeq, a predicted model, not a curated record